RNAcentral lists this ribosomal RNA (440 nucleotides) under uncultured bacterium. RNAcentral's name for it is "partial 16S ribosomal RNA". It matches the Rfam family "Bacterial small subunit ribosomal RNA", at positions 338 to 795 of the family's 1533-position model. The record is from RNAcentral.
CCUACGGGAGGCAGCAGUGGGGAAUAUUGGACAAUGGGGGCAACCCUGAUCCAGCGACGCCGCGUGAGUGAAGAAGUAUUUCGGUACGUAAAGCUCUAUCAGCAGGAAAGAAAAUUACGGUACCUGACUAUGAAGCCCCGGCUAACUACGUGCCAGCAGCCGCGGUAAUACGUAGGGCGCAAGCGUUAUCCGGAUUUACUGGGUGUAAAGGGAGCGUAGACGGCUGCGCAUGUCUGGAGUGAAAUGCCGGGGCUCAACCCCGGAACUGCUCUGGAAACUGUGAAGCUGGAGUGCAGGAGAGGUAAGCAGAAUGCCUGGUGUAGCGGUGAAAUGCGUAGAUAUCAGGAGGAACACCGGCGGCGAAGGCGGCUUACUGGACUAUAACUGACGUUGAGGCUCGAAGGCGUGGGGAGCAAACAGGAUUAGAUACCCUAGUAGUC